RNAcentral lists this ribosomal RNA (1489 nucleotides) under Lactiplantibacillus pentosus. RNAcentral describes it as "bacterial SSU rRNA". It matches the Rfam family "Bacterial small subunit ribosomal RNA". Lineage: Bacteria; Bacillati; Bacillota; Bacilli; Lactobacillales; Lactobacillaceae. The record is from RNAcentral.
GACGAACGCUGGCGGCGUGCCUAAUACAUGCAAGUCGAACGAACUCUGGUAUUGAUUGGUGCUUGCAUCAUGAUUUACAUUUGAGUGAGUGGCGAACUGGUGAGUAACACGUGGGAAACCUGCCCAGAAGCGGGGGAUAACACCUGGAAACAGAUGCUAAUACCGCAUAACAACUUGGACCGCAUGGUCCGAGUUUGAAAGAUGGCUUCGGCUAUCACUUUUGGAUGGUCCCGCGGCGUAUUAGCUAGAUGGUGGGGUAACGGCUUACCAUGGCAAUGAUACGUAGCCGACCUGAGAGGGUAAUCGGCCACAUUGGGACUGAGACACGGCCCAAACUCCUACGGGAGGCAGCAGUAGGGAAUCUUCCACAAUGGACGAAAGUCUGAUGGAGCAACGCCGCGUGAGUGAAGAAGGGUUUCGGCUCGUAAAACUCUGUUGUUAAAGAAGAACAUAUCUGAGAGUAACUGUUCAGGUAUUGACGGUAUUUAACCAGAAAGCCACGGCUAACUACGUGCCAGCAGCCGCGGUAAUACGUAGGUGGCAAGCGUUGUCCGGAUUUAUUGGGCGUAAAGCGAGCGCAGGCGGUUUUUUAAGUCUGAUGUGAAAGCCUUCGGCUCAACCGAAGAAGUGCAUCGGAAACUGGGAAACUUGAGUGCAGAAGAGGACAGUGGAACUCCAUGUGUAGCGGUGAAAUGCGUAGAUAUAUGGAAGAACACCAGUGGCGAAGGCGGCUGUCUGGUCUGUAACUGACGCUGAGGCUCGAAAGUAUGGGUAGCAAACAGGAUUAGAUACCCUGGUAGUCCAUACCGUAAACGAUGAAUGCUAAGUGUUGGAGGGUUUCCGCCCUUCAGUGCUGCAGCUAACGCAUUAAGCAUUCCGCCUGGGGAGUACGGCCGCAAGGCUGAAACUCAAAGGAAUUGACGGGGGCCCGCACAAGCGGUGGAGCAUGUGGUUUAAUUCGAAGCUACGCGAAGAACCUUACCAGGUCUUGACAUACUAUGCAAAUCUAAGAGAUUAGACGUUCCCUUCGGGGACAUGGAUACAGGUGGUGCAUGGUUGUCGUCAGCUCGUGUCGUGAGAUGUUGGGUUAAGUCCCGCAACGAGCGCAACCCUUAUUAUCAGUUGCCAGCAUUAAGUUGGGCACUCUGGUGAGACUGCCGGUGACAAACCGGAGGAAGGUGGGGAUGACGUCAAAUCAUCAUGCCCCUUAUGACCUGGGCUACACACGUGCUACAAUGGAUGGUACAACGAGUUGCGAACUCGUGAGAGUAAGCUAAUCUCUUAAAGCCAUUCUCAGUUCGGAUUGUAGGCUGCAACUCGCCUACAUGAAGUCGGAAUCGCUAGUAAUCGCGGAUCAGCAUGCCGCGGUGAAUACGUUCCCGGGCCUUGUACACACCGCCCGUCACACCAUGAGAGUUUGUAACACCCAAAGUCGGUGGGGUAACCUUUUAGGAACCAGCCGCCUAAGGUGGGACAGAUGAUUAGGGUG